This 440-nucleotide ribosomal RNA is filed under the name bacterium MB3004. Its description in RNAcentral is "bacterial SSU rRNA". It matches the Rfam family "Bacterial small subunit ribosomal RNA", at positions 28 to 478 of the family's 1533-position model. The record is from RNAcentral.
GACGAACGCUGGCGGCGUGCUUAACACAUGCAAGUCGAACGGAAAGGCCCUGCUUUUGUGGGGUGCUCGAGUGGCGAACGGGUGAGUAACACGUGAGUAACCUGCCCUUGACUUUGGGAUAACUUCAGGAAACUGGGGCUAAUACCGGAUAGGAGCUCCUGCUGCAUGGUGGGGGUUGGAAAGUUUCGGCGGUUGGGGAUGGACUCGCGGCUUAUCAGCUUGUUGGUGGGGUAGUGGCUUACCAAGGCUUUGACGGGUAGCCGGCCUGAGAGGGUGACCGGCCACAUUGGGACUGAGAUACGGCCCAGACUCCUACGGGAGGCAGCAGUGGGGAAUAUUGCACAAUGGGCGGAAGCCUGAUGCAGCAACGCCGCGUGCGGGAUGACGGCCUUCGGGUUGUAAACCGCUUUCGCCUGUGACCGAAGCGUGAGUGACGGUAA